RNAcentral lists this ribosomal RNA (497 nucleotides) under uncultured bacterium. RNAcentral's name for it is "partial 16S ribosomal RNA". It matches the Rfam family "Bacterial small subunit ribosomal RNA", at positions 28 to 507 of the family's 1533-position model. The record is from RNAcentral.
GAUGAACGCUGGCGGCGUGCCUAAUACAUGCAAGUCGAGCGAACAGACGAGGAGCUUGCUCCUCUGACGUUAGCGGCGGACGGGUGAGUAACACGUGGAUAACCUACCUAUAAGACUGGGAUAACUUCGGGAAACCGGAGCUAAUACCGGAUAAUAUAUUGAACCGCAUGGUUCAAUAGUGAAAGACGGUUUUGCUGUCACUUAUAGAUGGAUCCGCGCCGCAUUAGCUAGUUGGUAAGGUAACGGCUUACCAAGGCAACGAUGCGUAGCCGACCUGAGAGGGUGAUCGGCCACACUGGAACUGAGACACGGUCCAGACUCCUACGGGAGGCAGCAGUAGGGAAUCUUCCGCAAUGGGCGAAAGCCUGACGGAGCAACGCCGCGUGAGUGAUGAAGGUCUUCGGAUCGUAAAACUCUGUUAUCAGGGAAGAACAAAUGUGUAAGUAACUAUGCACGUCUUGACGGUAUCUAAUCAGAAAGCCACGGCUAACUACGUG